Molecule: unclassified non-coding RNA, 1157 nt
Filed under: Athalia rosae (coleseed sawfly)
Lineage: Eukaryota; Metazoa; Arthropoda; Insecta; Hymenoptera; Athaliidae
Description: misc RNA ENSAEAG00005003608.1
Source: RNAcentral
AUUCACUACUUGUUUCUCCCUUGUCAAUUGUUAUUCUUCUACUACCACCGCCGCUACCGCUCCAACUCCUCGGACGCGAUAACCACCACUUCUACCACUACCGCAACGACCGCGAAAACGACAGCUCCUGCGACGAUAUCGCAUAAAGACAGUUUUUCCUCUGUCGCAAUCCUCCGAAUUACGGUUGAUACAGAAUUCCGACAACUUGCUAAGAAUAUUUCUUACUUUCAUCCACAUAUAUAUGGAUCACGCGUUAGGUUGAUUUGUUGUUUUGUUUUCUCCUUGUCUUUCGACAUCUAAUCUACGCGACGGUUAACCACCCUUUAUGUAUACGCGUCCAUUCAUCAAAUGUGUAUAUUUGUUACUAUCGUUUCUGGAUCGUAUUUUCGGAACCUUCGCACCGGCACACACCGCGCCCCGUCCCUGUCCUGCUCAACACCGACCGCUACCGUCGACGAAACGCGCGAUCUUUCACCUGCACUACGUCACACACACCGUCGCCUCAACGAAACUUUUCGAACUCGUCGAUUAGUUUGUUUUUUUUUCUGUUUCCGUUUUCUUUGAUUUGACGAAAUUCGAAAAUACGCUGCUACGGUCACGUAGAUCGCUGCUCACUUUCGGUUGAUCGGUAUCAAUUACCGUCACUAAAAUUGAGUAACACUGGUUUUAUAUUUAUUAUAACAAACAGCGUCCGUCUCAUCGUGGGAAAUGUGAUAUAAACUUCGAGGUUCGACGCGUUAAUUGUACAACAAAUUUUGACUAUUGAUCACGAAUAUGCGUUUGGUAAACCGAUAGUGCAUAACGCACAUGUGAACGUGUCGAUGUGUAUCGUGUCACUGAGCACAGUUGUUUGUUUUUUUUUUUUUUUUUUUUUUGUUUUUUAUUCGAGAGUUUCACUAGGUUUCGUUCAGCUCGUCGACGCGGACUCGAAGCGCGUUGAAAAGAAAAAAGCCACGUAUCUCACGUGUGGGAAAUGUAUAAUAGCGCGUACAUAUCUCUCUUAUACGUUACGUGAACACGUAUACGUGUUGGUGGGAUGACGUCAGUUUCUAACACGCAAUGUUACAUUUGUAAUAUCUUCCAACUUAUAUCCACGUGCAUAUAACUAUCGACGUGCAAUCGCCUCUAUAUACUUACAAUUAUAACGUAUACAUGUA